Small nucleolar RNA from Cladophialophora psammophila CBS 110553, 265 nucleotides. It matches the Rfam family "Fungal small nucleolar RNA U3". From Rfam's summary of the family: Small nucleolar RNAs (snoRNAs) are involved in the processing and modification of rRNA in the nucleolus. There are two main classes of snoRNAs: the box C/D class, and the box H/ACA class. NCBI's taxonomy places the organism in Eukaryota, Fungi, Ascomycota, Eurotiomycetes, Chaetothyriales, Herpotrichiellaceae. The record is from Rfam.
UUCAACAGACUUCAUAGAAUCAUUUCUAUAGUAAACGUCCUCUUCUGAGCUCUUCACACGAGCCACAGAAUCCUCAACCUGGCUGACGAAAUAAAGUCCUCGGUACCCUGGAGUGAAGCCUUAUGUGUACUCUCGCUGCGUUCUUGUUUGCGGUCUUCGGAUCAGAACAAGAACAAGAGAGUGGUGAUGAUCUUUGACCUGCGUUUGGUGACUUGGCUUCGUGCCGGCCUGCGCAGGAGGUACCGAUGGAUUUACUCUGACAGGC